UACGGAGGGUGCGAGCGUUGUUCGGAAUUAUUGGGCGUAAAGCGCGUGUAGGCGGUUUUAUAAGUCUGAUGUGAAAGCCCCGGGCUCAACCUGGGAAGUGCAUUGGAUACUGUAAGACUUGAGUACGGGAGAGGGCAGUGGAAUUCCUAGUGUAGGAGUGAAAUCCGUAGAUAUUAGGAGGAACACCGGUGGCGAAGGCGGCUGCCUGGACCGAUACUGACGCUGAGACGCGAAAGCGUGGGGAGCAAACAGG
RNAcentral lists this ribosomal RNA (253 nucleotides) under uncultured bacterium. RNAcentral describes it as "partial 16S ribosomal RNA". It matches the Rfam family "Bacterial small subunit ribosomal RNA", at positions 524 to 776 of the family's 1533-position model. The record is from RNAcentral.